RNAcentral lists this ribosomal RNA (363 nucleotides) under uncultured soil bacterium. RNAcentral's name for it is "bacterial SSU rRNA". It matches the Rfam family "Bacterial small subunit ribosomal RNA", at positions 26 to 384 of the family's 1533-position model. The record is from RNAcentral.
AGAUUGAACGCUGGCGGCAUGCCUAACACAUGCAAGUCGAACGGGAGUAGCAAUACUCUAGUGGCGGACGGGUGAGGAAUACGUAGGAAUUUGCCCUUAAGUGAGGGAUAACCCGGGAAACCCGGAUUAAUACCGCAUGACCUCGAAAGAGCAAAGUGGGGAUCGCAAGACCUCACGCUUUUGGAGUAAGCCUACGUCGGAUUAGCUAGUUGGUGGGUAAUGGCUCACCAAGGCGACGAUCCGUAACUGGUCUGAGAGGAUGAUCAGUCACACCGGAACUGAGACACGGUCCCGACUCCGUACGGGAGCAAGCUAAGGUGGGGAAUAGUUGGGGACUAAGUGGGACGACAAGGCCCUGGACUU